RNAcentral lists this transfer RNA (80 nucleotides) under Felis catus (domestic cat). It matches the Rfam family "tRNA". Rfam says of the family: Transfer RNA (tRNA) molecules are approximately 80 nucleotides in length. Their secondary structure includes four short double-helical elements and three loops (D, anti-codon, and T loops). The record is from Rfam by way of RNAcentral. Lineage: Eukaryota; Metazoa; Chordata; Mammalia; Carnivora; Felidae.
GCCUGGGUGGCUCAGUCGGUUGAGCAUCUGACUUCGGCUCAGCUCAUGAUCUCAUGACUCACGGGUUCGAACCCCAGGUU